CUUUCCUACAGGCUCUGAGAAGGCCACCACAGUCAUUUCUUCCCUUCUCACAGACUUCAGAGUUUAUUACAAACAGUGGGCUGGGUCUUGCACUAAAGACAGAACAUCUCUUAUUAAAGCAUGGUAUAUCAUUUUCUCUUCAGACCAUGAGGACUGAACCGAGCCCAAUUACAAAACGGUAUCCCUGAAAGCAAAAUGCCAGUGAGU
RNAcentral lists this long non-coding RNA (207 nucleotides) under Homo sapiens (human). Its description in RNAcentral is "non-protein coding lnc-DPY19L1-3:1". Lineage: Eukaryota; Metazoa; Chordata; Mammalia; Primates; Hominidae. The record is from RNAcentral.